This 465-nucleotide ribosomal RNA is filed under the name Vreelandella stevensii. RNAcentral describes it as "partial 16S ribosomal RNA". It matches the Rfam family "Bacterial small subunit ribosomal RNA", at positions 338 to 795 of the family's 1533-position model. Lineage: Bacteria; Pseudomonadati; Pseudomonadota; Gammaproteobacteria; Oceanospirillales; Halomonadaceae. The record is from RNAcentral.
CCUACGGGAGGCUGCAGUGGGGAAUAUUGGACAAUGGGCGAAAGCCUGAUCCAGCCAUGCCGCGUGUGUGAAGAAGGCCUUCGGGUUGUAAAGCACUUUCAGUGGGGAAGAAAGCCUUGGGGCUAAUACCCUCGAGGAAGGACAUCACCCACAGAAGAAGCACCGGCUAACUCCGUGCCAGCAGCCGCGGUAAUACGGAGGGUGCGAGCGUUAAUCGGAAUUACUGGGCGUAAAGCGCGCGUAGGCGGUCUGAUAAGCCGGUUGUGAAAGCCCCGGGCUCAACCUGGGAACGGCAUCCGGAACGGUCAGGCUAGAGUGCAGGAGAGGAAGGUAGAAUUCCCGGUGUAGCGGUGAAAUGCGUAGAGAUCGGGAGGAAUACCAGUGGCGAAGGCGGCCCUCUGGACUGACACUGACGCUGAGGUGCGAAAGCGUGGGUAGCAAACAGGAUUAGAUACCCCUGUAGUC